AAGAACGCUGGCGGCAUGCUUAACACAUGCAAGUCGAACGGAUAGUAGCAAUACUAUUAGUGGCAAACGGGUGAGUAACACGUAGGAAUCUACCCUGUAGUACGGAACAACAGUUGGAAACGACUGCUAAUACCGCAUACGCUCCUUCGGGAGGAAAGAUUUAUCGCUAUAGGAUGAGCCUGCGCUAAAUUAGAUUGUUGGUGGGGUAAUGGCCUACCAAGUCGANGAUUUAUAGCUGGUCCGAGAGGACGACCAGCCACACUGGGGACUUAGAAACGGUCCAGACUCCUACGGGAGGCAGCAGUGAGGAAUAUUGGACAAUGGGCGCAAGCCUGAUCCAGCAAUGCCGCGUGAAUGAUGAAGGCCUUAGGGUUGUAAAGUUCUUUCGGUGGGGAAGAAAAUGACGGUACCCACAGAAGAAGCUCCGGCUAACUCCGUGCCAGCCGCCGCGGU
Molecule: ribosomal RNA, 453 nt
Filed under: uncultured bacterium
Lineage: Bacteria
Description: bacterial SSU rRNA
Rfam family: Bacterial small subunit ribosomal RNA
Source: RNAcentral